RNAcentral lists this ribosomal RNA (305 nucleotides) under uncultured bacterium. RNAcentral's name for it is "bacterial SSU rRNA". It matches the Rfam family "Bacterial small subunit ribosomal RNA", at positions 337 to 659 of the family's 1533-position model. The record is from RNAcentral.
UCCUACGGGAGGCAGCAGUGGGGAAUAUUGCCCAAUGGGGGGAACCCUGAUGCAGCGACGCCGCGUGAGUGAAGAAGUAUUUCGGUAUGUAAAGCUCUAUCCGCAGGGAAGAAAAUGACGGUACCUGACUAAGAAGCCCCGGCUAACUACGUGCCAGCAGCCGCGGUAAUACGUAGGGGGCAAGCGUUAUCCGGAUUUACUGGGUGUAAAGGGAGCGCAGACGGCUGUGCAAGUCUGGAGUGAAAGGCGGGGACCCAACCCCCGGACUGCUCUGGAAACUGUAAAGCUGGAGUGCAGGAGAGGUA